RNAcentral lists this unclassified non-coding RNA (346 nucleotides) under soil metagenome. Its description in RNAcentral is "partial contains 5.8S ribosomal RNA, internal transcribed spacer 2, and large subunit ribosomal RNA". The stretch from base 1 to 119 matches the Rfam family "5.8S ribosomal RNA", at positions 35 to 154 of the family's 154-position model. The record is from RNAcentral.
GAUGAAGAACGUAGCGAAAUGCGAUAAGUAAUGCGAACUGCAGAAUCCGUGAGUCAUCGAAUCUUUGAACGCACAUUGCGCCCUUUGGUAUUCCGAAGGGCAUGCCUGUUCGAGCGUCAUUAUCACCCCUCAAGCCCCGGCUUGGUGUUGGGCUCUCGGUGGUCGUCUCCGACCACCCGUCUCAAAGAUAGUGACGGCGUCCCAGAGGGAACCGGUACGAGGAGCUUUCACGAGCAUGUACGCGGGACGACUCUGCGGGCGACGGUCUUAUUUACUUUAUAUACAAGUGUUGACCUCGGAUCAGGUAGGAAUACCCGCUGAACUUAAGCAUAUCAAUAACGGAGGA